Molecule: long non-coding RNA, 2080 nt
Filed under: Daphnia magna
Lineage: Eukaryota; Metazoa; Arthropoda; Branchiopoda; Diplostraca; Daphniidae
Description: uncharacterized LOC116918669
Source: RNAcentral
AAUUGCCUCAAGUCUUAGUCAUUCCGAAGAAUGAUUGCUAACCGCAAGCAGCAACUCCUUCGCCCCGUUCUAUUCCGCUGCCACUCAUUUUUUGUUCGUACGCAGUAGACGUACACCAACUCUAUCGAGCACAAGUUGACUGUAAUUACACGGGCGUAAAGCGUCGCAAAUAAAGGCAACAGAUGCUGCGCAGUUCGUCUCUACGAUGCAGCCAGGGCAGUAAAAUAUUUUUACAUUUUCGUCCUUUGUCACCUGCCACGGACCUAUUAAAUUGUUGAGCUUGUGUAAUCCUCAAUGCAGUCUACACAAAACAAGAAAUUACUAAACAAGUACAUCUUAAAAAUGACCCAUGUGGAAAAUCCUCUUAUGUUUCAAUGUGGACUCUUCAUUCACUUUAUCUAUUUACCCUUUUUAUUUACAAUCACCAUCGGGUUCCAUCUCGGACGCUAGUCAAAGAAUAUAUUUCUUCUGUAUAGAAAAGCAUGAAAGCGAAAGGAGAACUAUAUUUCGCCUUUCUUCUUCUUAAUCCCUAUAGACGCAAAUAGCCUUUAGUUCCAUGUUGUGUUCAUGUUCUCAUCGUCCUCUUUAUUUGCCAACCAACAAACUUAUUCAUUCGUGUUUUGCUUUGAAAAUAAAGAGAAAGACAAGAUUAGAAAGAGAUGCUAACUAUAACUGCGUUCACAACUUUUCUGAGCCUAUUGCGUCUUUACCCAAAGUUUCGACAUUCAAAAAGAUCAAAGCUCUCUUCGGCUUUCUUUGGCAUUCAAACCCGCACGGAACGUUUCACUUUCUAACGUGGAAUUGUUACCUUACCGCCACCACGUGACGUGAGGUGCAUCGUUCGAUUGAGCUGAUCAAUUUUCUUUCCAACAAGAAAUGCUGCCGUAUUUAAUAAUAAAAAAAAAAGAACAUUUUCAAUUUCCCCUCGCCAGCAAUCCGGCAUGUAAAAAAAAAAAGACCUUUGUUAUUUUUCGUGGCAAGAAGAGCUUAUUAGCAUUUAAAUGGUAUUGUUGACAUACUUUGGAGCCUGCAGUGAAACUCAACAUAUGGCAGCUGUUGUUCAGCUAGCCUUCGAUUUCCUGAUUUCACGCUACAAUCGUCCGACAGCGGGCGUGUCUCAAAUCUCCCCAAUAGAAAAUUCUAUUCAAUUAAUCGACAAAUCGAGUCACGUUAUCUUAACUGCGUUGGCCUUUACCAAUCGCGUACCCUUCACGCUUUAGAUGGACGAUUAGCUCUUGGGUGUACGAUAUGAUCAGCAACGACGAGCAUUCGUUAAACGUGACACAAAGCAGAAACGAUGCAUUUUAAAACCUAAUUAUGAGUAGCUUCUAGACGGAGCCCAUUCGGUGUACUCAUUCGGACAGAUGUCAUCUAUCCCUUGGCACUAUUUCUUUGAUGAUGAAAUAGUAACAAACAACAUUGGGGGCGGAAGCCAAUGAUUUGCAUGGAAAAAGCGAAUCCCCUGUUAAUCGAACAAAGAGAUGCAGCAUAAACAUGGAUAUGGAACAGCAAUUCCAACGCAACAGAAAAUUACUCGAACAAUAAGCCGAGGAUCAUCAAGAAUACGACGCCACACGAUCCUUAAAAAAAAUGCUGAAUCGUGACGAGUAGUAGACUAAAUAGAAGAGGGGUAGAUUUCAUUUGUUUAGUCAACACUAAUUGAAUUGUUAAACAUCCUGAAAUGUACUUUUAUUCGUUGCAUGUUUUGACGCCAUCUGUUGAUUACGCUUCUAUGCAUAUGCAAAUCAGUGACAGACUGCAACACAAUGUUUGCAACAGACUGAAAUCUUGAAACUUGGAACCUUCUCAUCAAAUAUGAAGCCAUUCCUCUGUAACGCAAAAACACCAUUGGGAGUGCCGUUCCGCUGCAGUAAAUAGAAGGCAGCCGACCCACGAAGUCGCCUCCUGACUUUCUCGUAACACGCGACGAGUCCCACUCCGCUCUUUGACUAUGAGGAAAACGCGUCGACUCUUAUUGGUUACAUCCGGCUAAACUUUCGACUACUACUGGUUGCUGCAUGUAGGAUUGAAAACUUUGAGUCAAUGAAUAAUGAACCCAAUACACCGCUCAAAACCUGUA